GUCUAUUAAAUCUCUUGUGAAAUCGUCGGGCUAAACCUGACGGCGUGCAGGGGACACUGAUAGACUAGAGACCGGGAGGGGUUAGAGGUAUUCCUAGGGGAGCGGUAAAAUGCUAUAAUCCUAGGAGGACCACCUAUGGCGAAGGCAUCUAACCAGAACGGGUCUGACUGUGAGGAACGAAAGCCAGGGGAGCAAACCGGAUUAGAUACCCGAGUAGUCCUGGCAGUAAACGCUGCGAGCAAGGUGUUGCAUAUUCUAAUAUGAAUAUGCAGUGUCGAAAUGAAGAUGUUAAGCUCGCCGCCUGGGAAGUACGGACGCAACGUUGAAACUUAAAGGAAUUGGCGGGGGAGCACUACAAGGGGUGCGGCGUGCGGUUUAAUUGAAUUCAACACCGAGAAUCUCACCAGGAGCGACGGCAGAAUGAAGGUCAGUCUAAAGGGCUUACCCGACGAGCCGAGAGGUGGUGCAUGGCCGUCUUCAGCUCGUGCCAUGAGGUGUCCUAUCAAGUCAGGCUACGAGCGAGACCUGCAUCUACAAUUGCUCACAGCUCUAUUGGAGGACUGAGCACAUUGUAGAGACUGCCUUGGAAACAAGGAGGAAGUUGCAGGCUACGAUAGGUCUGUAUGCCCCGAAUCCCCUGGGCUACACGCGCGCAACAAUGGUAGAGACAAUGGG
RNAcentral lists this ribosomal RNA (675 nucleotides) under uncultured euryarchaeote. RNAcentral's name for it is "bacterial SSU rRNA". It matches the Rfam family "Archaeal small subunit ribosomal RNA", at positions 528 to 1202 of the family's 1478-position model. Lineage: Archaea; Methanobacteriati; Methanobacteriota. The record is from RNAcentral.